RNAcentral lists this ribosomal RNA (255 nucleotides) under uncultured prokaryote. RNAcentral describes it as "partial 16S ribosomal RNA". It matches the Rfam family "Bacterial small subunit ribosomal RNA", at positions 524 to 776 of the family's 1533-position model. The record is from RNAcentral.
UACGGGGGGAGCAAGCGUUGUUCGGAUUUACUGGGCGUAAAGGGCGCGUAGGCGGCCACCGCAAGUCAAUUGUGAAAUCUCCGCGCUCAACGCGGAGGGGUCAGCUGAAACUGCUGUGACUUGAGUCUGGUAGGGGAGUGUGGAAUUCCCGGUGUAGCGGUGAAAUGCGCAGAUAUCGGGAGGAACACCAGUGGCGAAGGCGGCACUCUGGGCCAGUACUGACACUGAGGAGCGAAAGCGUGGGGAGCGAACAGG